This 1097-nucleotide long non-coding RNA is filed under the name Serinus canaria (Common canary). RNAcentral's name for it is "lncRNA (ENSSCAG00000009400.1)". The record is from RNAcentral. Lineage: Eukaryota; Metazoa; Chordata; Aves; Passeriformes; Fringillidae.
GCACACAUGGACUCCUGGCCAGGCAGGCCGGGGCUGGCUGAGUUUCUGCUGGAAAGCUGCGCCGUGCCUCUCACAAACACCAGAUGCUCCAGGCCGGGGAAACAAAGAGCACUUUCCUGUAAACAACAGCACACUGCAGCCCUCUCCCAGGCACCAACAAUGGGAACUGCAAAACACAUGAAAAGAGUUGCAAGUUGCAGGGGUCACAACGAGCUCUUCUGGGAAGGAAGACAAGGCUGGAGGAGCUGAUGGAGAACAACAACAACCAUAAAAAGUUAAAUAACUUGGGGCUUCCCCAGCAGUGCCUGGGGAGUGGGAACAACAGAUCCUAGAGGAAAUGCUUUGAGACUGCCAGAGAUUUGGUCAGCUCUCAGAGCCCAGAGUGAAUAUUUGGGCAUCACACAGUGCAAGAAGAAAUAUUUUCCUUGCUGCUGCAGAUCUUAGAAUGAGAUUAACGAGCGUGAGUAAUAAGGAACAUGUUGCAAUGCUGUUACAAAAGCAAGGACAGGGUCUCAGGUGAGUCUGUCACACAGGAAAUUCAGUGAGAGGGGAUCAGAAAUCCCAGCUUGUCUGUCCUGGAGGGCACAGGUAAAUAACAGGCAACUCCUUUAAACAAUUCCACAUUUAUUGUCCCCAAACUGGCAGCUCAGACACACAGAUCUCUCCUGUUUGAGGAUAAAUCUGCAGUUCCAAGCUGCAGCACAGAGAUGUUGUCACCGAUUGUGGGUACCAAGUUGGGGUGGCCUGUGGGGAGAUGCAUGAAGAGGCAGGAGGGAGACACUCCAAAUUAGAAUAAUAUUGAGGCUAGAAGUGUUAAAAUUUAAGAUUAGGGCUUGUUUGGCUUUGUUUUUCAUCACCAUAAUUCCAGACCAUUUGAUGCUUUUCUUCCAGUUCAGGAAAAACUCUGGUUUUGCCUUCAGAGGAAACACUGGCAGCAGAUCAGACAAACAUCUCCCAAGUGAAAAAAGCAGGAAUCCUAAAAAAGGGACUGUGCCCUUGCCUGGAGGCAGCUGCAUGGACUAAAUCCUCAGGUACACAUGCUAAUCCCCAGGAAAAACAGAGUAACCAGCAGAAACUCUUGCUGCUCAAGCUUGUAG